GGUUAAGCGACUAAGCGUACACGGUGGAUGCCCUGGCAGUCAGAGGCGAUGAAGGACGUGCUAAUCUGCGAAAAGCGUCGGUAAGGUGAUAUGAACCGUUAUAACCGGCGAUGUCCGAAUGGGGAAACCCAGUGUGAUUCGUCACACUAUCGUUAACUGAAUACAUAGGUUAACGAGGCGAACCGGGGGAACUGAAACAUCUAAGUACCCCGAGGAAAAGAAAUCAACCGAGAUUCCCCCAGUAGCGGCGAGCGAACGGGGAGCAGCCCAGAGUCUGAAUCAGCUUGUGUGUUAGUGGAACGGUCUGGAAAGUCCGACGGUACAGGGUGAUAGUCCCGUACACCAAAAUGCACAGGCUGUGAACUCGAAGAGUAGGGCGGGACACGUGGUAUCCUGUCUGAAUAUGGGGGGACCAUCCUCCAAGGCUAAAUACUCCUGACUGACCGAUAGUGAACCAGUACCGUGAGGGAAAGGCGAAAAGAACCCCGGCGAGGGGAGUGAAAAAGAACCUGAAACCGUGUACGUACAAGCAGUGGGAGCACCUUCGGGUGUGACUGCGUACCUUUUGUAUAAUGGGUCAGCGACUUAUAUUCUGUAGCAAGGUUAACCGUAUAGGGGAGCCGCAGGGAAACCGAGUCUUAACUGGGCGUUAAGUUGCAGGGUAUAGACCCGAAACCCGGUGAUCUAGCCAUGGGCAGGUUGAAGGUUGGGUAACACUAACUGGAGGACCGAACCGACUAAUGUUGAAAAAUUAGCGGAUGACUUGUGGCUGGGGGUGAAAGGCCAAUCAAACCGGGAGAUAGCUGGUUCUCCCCGAAAGCUAUUUAGGUAGCGCCUCGUGAACUCAUCUUCGGGGGUAGAGCACUGUUUCGGCUAGGGGGUCAUCCCGACUUACCAACCCGAUGCAAACUACGAAUACCGAAGAAUGUUAUCACGGGAGACACACGGCGGGUGCUAACGUCCGUCGUGAAGAGGGAAACAACCCAGACCGCCAGCUAAGGUCCCAAAGUCAUGGUUAAGUGGGAAACGAUGUGGGAAGGCACAGACAGCCAGGAUGUUGGCUUAGAAGCAGCCAUCAUUUAAAGAAAGCGUAAUAGCUCACUGGUCGAGUCGGCCUGCGCGGAAGAUGUAACGGGGCUAAACCAUGCACCGAAGCUGCGGCAGCGACACUAUGUGUUGUUGGGUAGGGGAGCGUUCUGUAAGCCUGCGAAGGUGACCUGUGAGGGUUGCUGGAGGUAUCAGAAGUGCGAAUGCUGACAUAAGUAACGAUAAAGCGGGUGAAAAGCCCGCUCGCCGGAAGACCAAGGGUUCCUGUCCAACGUUAAUCGGGGCAGGGUGAGUCGACCCCUAAGGCGAGGCCGAAAGGCGUAGUCGAUGGGAAACAGGUUAAUAUUCCUGUACUUGGUGUUACUGCGAAGGGGGGACGGAGAAGGCUAUGUUAGCCGGGCGACGGUUGUCCCGGUUUAAGCAUGUAGGCUGAUUGUCCAGGCAAAUCCGGAUAAUCAAGGCUGAGGUGUGAUGACGAGGCACUACGGUGCUGAAGUAACAAAUGCCCUGCUUCCAGGGAAAGCCUCUAAGCAUCAGGUAACAUCAAAUCGUACCCCAAACCGACACAGGUGGUCAGGUAGAGAAUACCAAGGCGCUUGAGAGAACUCGGGUGAAGGAACUAGGCAAAAUGGUGCCGUAACUUCGGGAGAAGGCACGCUGGUGUGUAGGUGAAGCCCCUGCGGGUGGAGCUGAGACCAGUCGAAGAUACCAGCUGGCUGCAACUGUUUAUUAAAAACACAGCACUGUGCAAACACGAAAGUGGACGUAUACGGUGUGACGCCUGCCCGGUGCCGGAAGGUUAAUUGAUGGGGUUAUCCGUAAGGAGAAGCUCUUGAUCGAAGCCCCGGUAAACGGCGGCCGUAACUAUAACGGUCCUAAGGUAGCGAAAUUCCUUGUCGGGUAAGUUCCGACCUGCACGAAUGGCGUAAUGAUGGCCAGGCUGUCUCCACCCGAGACUCAGUGAAAUUGAACUCGCUGUGAAGAUGCAGUGUACCCGCGGCAAGACGGAAAGACCCCGUGAACCUUUACUAUAGCUUGACACUGAACAUUGAGCCUUGAUGUGUAGGAUAGGUGGGAGGCUUUGAAGCGUGGACGCCAGUCUGCGUGGAGCCAACCUUGAAAUACCACCCUUUAAUGUUUGAUGUUCUAACGUUGGCCCCUUACCGGGGUUGCGGACAGUGUCUGGUGGGUAGUUUGACUGGGGCGGUCUCCUCCCAAAGCGUAACGGAGGAGCACGAAGGUUAGCUAAUCCUGGUCGGACAUCAGGAGGUUAGUGCAAUGGCAUAAGCUAGCUUGACUGCGAGCGUGACGGCGCGAGCAGGUGCGAAAGCAGGUCAUAGUGAUCCGGUGGUUCUGAAUGGAAGGGCCAUCGCUCAACGGAUAAAAGGUACUCCGGGGAUAACAGGCUGAUACCGCCCAAGAGUUCAUAUCGACGGCGGUGUUUGGCACCUCGAUGUCGGCUCAUCACAUCCUGGGGCUGAAGUAGGUCCCAAGGGUAUGGCUGUUCGCCAUUUAAAGUGGUACGCGAGCUGGGUUUAGAACGUCGUGAGACAGUUCGGUCCCUAUCUGCCGUGGGCGCUGGAGAAUUGAGGGGGGCUGCUCCUAGUACGAGAGGACCGGAGUGGACGCAUCACUGGUGUUCGGGUUGUCAUGCCAAUGGCACUGCCCGGUAGCUAAAUGCGGAAGAGAUAAGUGCUGAAAGCAUCUAAGCACGAAACUUGCCCCGAGAUGAGUUCUCCCUGAGACUUUAAGUCUCCUGAAGGAACGUUGAAGACGACGACGUUGAUAGGCCGGGUGUGUAAGCGCAGCGAUGCGUUGAGCUAACCGGUACUAAUGAACCGUGAGGCUUAACCUU
RNAcentral lists this ribosomal RNA (2902 nucleotides) under Klebsiella pneumoniae. RNAcentral describes it as "23S ribosomal RNA". It matches the Rfam family "Bacterial large subunit ribosomal RNA". Lineage: Bacteria; Pseudomonadati; Pseudomonadota; Gammaproteobacteria; Enterobacterales; Enterobacteriaceae. The record is from RNAcentral.